UAACAUACAAGCUAUUUAUAACACUCUCUAGAUAUAAGGUUUGUUUGUUGUCCCAGCUCCGUUCCCGUCCCCUCUCACAGGGUUCUUGUUUUCCUCUUUCAGUUGUUAUUUUUCAUCUGAAGGGAAACAGACAAUUAAACAUAUUGUAUAUGUUGGUUUUAGGUAUCAGUUUGUGCCACAGAUAAUCUUCUUGAACUGCCUU
This 202-nucleotide unclassified non-coding RNA is filed under the name Hevea brasiliensis (rubber tree). The record is from RNAcentral. Lineage: Eukaryota; Viridiplantae; Streptophyta; Magnoliopsida; Malpighiales; Euphorbiaceae.